UUAUGAACAGUGUCGGCUGGGUUGGAGCCGUUUUCUCUUAUGGCUGGAUUUGUUUGGUCGGCGGCUGGUAUGAAGUCGGGUGGCUUUGUCUAAAAUUGAUCCUCACUGCCUCUGUCUUUGUAAUCGCUUUUAUCUUUCUAUCACAUGGUCACCGUCUUUCCAUCUUCCAAUCAAGAUGAACACUGUCUUAUUCGGCUUAGUCUUAUUCAAUAUUAAUCUCAGGAGAGAAGCAUCAGGUCUAUCACCAACUCCAAAAAUCCUAAUUGCUUUUCAAUUUCAUUCAUAUAUCUCUGCUCUGUCUUGCCGAUUGAAACGAAGUAGGUCUUCAAUUUACAUCGCUGACUUCCAAUGACCACAUAACGUUGCGUCCUACUGGAAAUAUCCAUAACCCACCCAUUUCAGGCGAAGGGAGAAGAUAACAAUACUUUUAAUUAGGGUUCCAGACGUAAUUUCUUUGGAAAUACCCCUUCAACAGUUCAACUGACACAAAUUGAAAGGGAUGCUCGAUUUCCGCUUCUGUGUGUUUAUGGUGUUGAAGAAGAAUGUCAAGUGUUCCAUAGUUUGAGUAAAGUUAUUGGGGCAUUGAGGCGGAAGAGCAAGUGGCAAACACCAUGUUGAAGGAAAAAAGGAGUAAGAUACAAGGACGAAAAGGGAACGGCUUGGGCCUUGGAAGAUAUACUGUUCACAAACCAGAACGGGAUUGGAGAUGCCGAGAUGGUACUCCUGGUUCCAAGGGCAAGAGCUCGGGUUGACUACAUCGCACACACCACAUGGAUUGAGUUAUCCCUCUGAUUGUUACUAUGUUGAUAUACUUAUUUUGAUUUGGGUUGUAUGGAUUAUGUUUUGAAAUACCGUUUUAUUUAAUUUAAAAAUUAAAUCUUUGGAUAAUAUUUUUGGGACAAGACAGUCACGUUGGAUUGGUUGUUGGAUUUCAAAAAGGCUAUAUGUCGAAAGGGUCUUACCUCCCAACCGUCCUGUCUGACUGAUCCUUACUUGAUAGAUCUUGAUGUAGACAUUGGAAUUAGUGAGAAAUAUAGACUACUAUUAGUCACCAUGAUCAUUAGACUAAAACUAUGUAUAAAUCAUACUUAAGUCACGUUAAGGGAAUAUCUAAGGUGUUAGGCGAAAC
Lactuca sativa (garden lettuce) is the source of this 1129-nucleotide long non-coding RNA. RefSeq lists it as uncharacterized. Lineage: Eukaryota; Viridiplantae; Streptophyta; Magnoliopsida; Asterales; Asteraceae. The record is from RefSeq and is a predicted model, not a curated record.